RNAcentral lists this ribosomal RNA (400 nucleotides) under uncultured bacterium. RNAcentral's name for it is "bacterial SSU rRNA". It matches the Rfam family "Bacterial small subunit ribosomal RNA", at positions 355 to 770 of the family's 1533-position model. The record is from RNAcentral.
UUGGGAAUCUUGCGCAAUGGGGGAAACCCUGACGCAGCGACACCGCGUGGAGGAUGAAGGAUUUCGGUCUGUAAACUCCUUUUGCUAGGAAAGACUUAGGACGGUACCUAGCGAAUAAGCUCCGGCUAACUACGUGCCAGCAGCCGCGGUAAUACGUAGGGAGCAAGCGUUGUCCGGAUUUACUGGGCGUAAAGGGCGUGUAGGCGGUCUGUUAAGUGUGACGUGAAAUCUUCAGGGCUCAACCCGAAAAUUGCGUCGCAGACUGGCAGACUAGAGGGAAGCAGAGGUUGAUAGAAUUCCUGGUGUAGCGGUGACAUGCGUUGAUAUCAGGAGGAAUACCGAUGGCGAAGGCAGUCAACUGGGCUUUUCCUGACGCUGAGGCGCGAAAGCGUGGGUAGCA